AAUCUGGGGCCCCAGGCCUCCGAGUUGUAAUUUGGAGAGGCAUCUUCGGGGAGGGGGCGCGGGCCCAUGUUCCUUGGAACAGGACGUCGCAGAGGGUGAGAAUCCCGUGCCAGGCCGGCUGCCUCCGCCCCAGUGAAGGGCCUUCGACGAGUCGAGUUGUUUGGGAAUGCAGCUCCAAGUGGGUGGUAAAUUUCAUCUAAAGCUAAAUACCGGCGGGAGACCGAUAGCGCACAAGUAGAGUGAUCGAAAGAUGAAAAGCACUUUGAAAAUAGAGUCAAAAAGUACGUGAAAUUGUUGAAAGGGAAGCGCUUGAGACCAGACUCGGACCCGGGCAAACAUCGCGCCCCCCGGGGCCGUGCAAUUGCCUGGGGCCGGGCCAGCAUCGGUUGGCGUGGCGGGACAAAGGCGCGGGGAAUGUGGCUCCCCUCGGGGAGUGUUAUUAGGCCCGCGCCCAAUGCCGCCUACGCCGACUGAGGACCGCGCCGCCCGGCUAGGAUGCUGGCUUAAUGGCCUUCAGCGACCCGUCUUGAAACACGGACCAAGGAGUCUAACAUCUAUGCGAGUGUUUGGGCUUGAAACCCUUGCGCGGAAUGAAAGUGAGCGGAGGUGGGAACCCCCCCGCGGGGCGCACCAUCGACCGAUCCUGAUGUCUUCGGAUGGAUUUGAGUAC
This 670-nucleotide ribosomal RNA is filed under the name Helvella acetabulum. RNAcentral's name for it is "eukaryotic LSU rRNA". It matches the Rfam family "Eukaryotic large subunit ribosomal RNA", at positions 119 to 797 of the family's 3401-position model. The record is from RNAcentral. Lineage: Eukaryota; Fungi; Ascomycota; Pezizomycetes; Pezizales; Helvellaceae.